This 254-nucleotide ribosomal RNA is filed under the name uncultured bacterium. RNAcentral describes it as "partial 16S ribosomal RNA". It matches the Rfam family "Bacterial small subunit ribosomal RNA", at positions 524 to 776 of the family's 1533-position model. The record is from RNAcentral.
CACGUAGGGGGCAAGCGUUGUCCGGAUUUAUUGGGCGUAAAGAGCUCGUAGGCGGCUCAGUAAGUCAGGUGUGAAACCUCCAGGCUCAACCUGGAGACGCCACCUGAUACUGCUGUGGCUAGAGUCCGGUAGGGGAGCGUGGAAUUCCUGGUGUAGCGGUGAAAUGCGCAGAUAUCAGGAGGAACACCGGUGGCGAAGGCGGUUCUCUGGGCCUUACCUGACGCUGAGGAGCGAAAGCAUGGGGAGCAAACAGG